UGGCGGCAUGGCCGAGUGUAA
Molecule: transfer RNA, 21 nt
Filed under: Galium rubioides
Lineage: Eukaryota; Viridiplantae; Streptophyta; Magnoliopsida; Gentianales; Rubiaceae
Also listed under: 42 other names
Description: partial tRNA-Cys
Source: RNAcentral